GAAGCCGUCCGCGGCCCCCACCCCUCCCGCCUGGCUCGGGCGCCAGGAGAAGCGGACAUUUUAGCCUCCUCUGCAAUCCGCUCUCUCGUUCGUGUCCUUCUCCCCCCUCUCGUCCGGUAGGGCCGGCAGUGUAGAUUUCCCCAGGGGCGGGGGUGGGAUCUGAGCAAUCACUCGCCCUCCCCCCUCCCAGGGGCGGGGAGGGGGUGAUUUAGGGAGGACUCCACGGGGCCCAAAGGUUCGCACCGCCCCGCCGCGGCCCAGCCUGCAGAAGCCCCCCGCUGCCGCGGCGCCCCCGCUCCCCGCCCCGCGAGGCGCGCGCAGCUGCGCCCGGGCCUGUCCUCGCUUCACCCCCACUCUGCCCCUUCGGUAUUUCUCAAUGACCGGCGCUCCGAGGACACUUCCGACGCGGAGGGAGGGGGUGUCAUUAGCGCUCGGUUAUCAGUUCCUUCCGGUCUCCCCGAGCUCAACCCUGCGCGCGGCCGGGCCGCGCCUCGGGCGAUCUGGUGCCUUUAUUAUGAUGUUUAAGUAAGCAGUCGUGUGUGCCAAGUGAGUUUGUAGCCCAGCUGUCUCCCCCAAGCCCCGCUGGCAGGAAUGGAAACCCAAGCUCUCUCGUAAUGCAGGGGAUGAUGCAAACUUAGAAACUGACCCGGCGCCCGGGAAUGAGGCCCCCCCGCCCCGGGCGUGCGGCGGCCCAGUCGGGGCAUGAAUGGCUGGAGCCCGAUUGCAUAAUCCGCGCGGUAUAAAUAGCCGGCGGGCGGGCCGCUGACGCGCUCGGUUGUGCCGUUAUCGUGCAAUGCUUCAUCCCCGGUGCCGUUCAAUCCCAGGUCGUUUUCCCUUUCAGCUGCAAUGCCGGGAUUUUAAAUAGCAGAGAUGAAAGGCCCCUGCCCCCGCCUCCCUCCUCCCCUGAGUUCAUGUAUUAUGAAUGAAACGGCAGCCUCGCUGCUUCCUGAGGUGCUCCACUUCAGGCUGGGGUGCAAUGGCUCGAUCUCGGCUCAGUGCAACCUCUGCUUCCCGGGUUCAAGUGAUUCUCCUGCGUCAGCCUCCCAAGCAGCUGUGAAUACAGGUUGGAGUGCAGUGGUGCUGUGUCUGGAGUUUGUUCCUGCCGUUGGGUUUGUGGUCUUGCUGACUUCAAGAAUGAAGCCACGGACCUUCACGAGAAAUAUUACGUUGUAUGGAUGUACCACUGUUUGUUUAUCCAUUCUUCAGGUGAAGGACAUGUGGGUUGUGCCCAGCGCGGGCUGAAUAAAGGUUAUGGAAAGGAGGCUCUCUUGAUACCAAGCUUCAGGAUCCACCCACAGGAAAAGAUACACACACAGGCACAUUGGAAACGCAGUAGAAAAUGGCUGCCAAUUUAAAACCAGAAGUUAAGAAGAGCAAACUCGAAUGUACAGCAAGAGAGCUUCAGGCUGGACUGGCUUCCAGCAGAAGUGGGACUGGAAACCUCGGAUUCUAUUGUCUCUUCUCUGUGAAGUGGGAAAACAUGUCAGUAUCUGAACUUGAGCUUGGUAAUUACUGCUCAUUUCUCAACCUUUUCCAAGCCACGUAACUCCCCUAAGGCUUAGUUUUCUUAUCUGUGAAUUGCGAGAUGGUAUGUUCUUCAUCACGAGGUUGCUAUAAAGACUGAAUGAGAUAAUGUGUGUGGAAGCACCAAGCAUGGUCCUUGGCAUGCAGUAGAUGCUCAAUAAAUAUGAACUGGAGUACACAUGCACUCUGCUCCCUCCUGCCCCCUCAUAGUGCCUGGUCUGGCUCUGGGCUCCCUGGGAUAUGGCAGGUUACCAAAGCAGGCACUAAGGCAUGUCUACCCUUGGUACCUUAUUACCUAGGUUUCCUGUGCCACCUGCUUCAUUCUAAUCGCAGAUUUCAGGCUCCAUUCAAACAGAACCUCACUUCUGCUAGCUGUCAUGCUCAAAAAGGGACUGAUGACCACUGAAGCAGGCUAUGAUAGUGAUUUAUGAAUGUCAUUCCUCCAGACAGCAUUUGGAUUAUUACUGGUUUUGCUUUUAUUUUAUUUGGCG
This 2015-nucleotide long non-coding RNA is filed under the name Homo sapiens (human). RNAcentral's name for it is "HSALNT0032863". Lineage: Eukaryota; Metazoa; Chordata; Mammalia; Primates; Hominidae. The record is from RNAcentral.